GGCUGCGCGCACGCUGUCUUGCAUGGCGUGCGAUUCCAUGGGCGACCUGGGUGCACCAGGCGGUCUCUCUCCCUGCAUGCCGCCUCUUUUUUCCCCUCUGUUGUUAUGCACGUCCUUUUUUCCUUUCUUCUGCGGAAUGGUUGUCUUUUUUCUUUUCUUGUUUUUUUUCCGCCCCUCUGGCUUGCGGUGUGCGGCCGGCGGAUUGUGCGAUGUGCGAGAGUGACGCCGAGAAAAGAGACGCGAGCGCAACAGAGGCACGUCCACGCCUGCCCUGUCAGGCUGGUCGCCGCCACAAAAAAUUUGGC
This 305-nucleotide long non-coding RNA is filed under the name Pandoravirus dulcis. RNAcentral's name for it is "putative ncRNA". The record is from RNAcentral.